ACCUGGCCUCUUCCUGGGGCCUGGAGCCCUGGUUGCCAUCAGCCAUGGCUCCCAAAAAGAGUGUGAGCAAGGCAGGCAAGGAGCUUGAAGUCAAGAAGAAAGGGGGCAAGAAGGAGCCGGUGGUGGCCGUGGAGCCGCCUCUGGCCAAGGAGAUGAAGGAGUUCUACCACAUCCAGAUCCGAGACCUGGAGGACCGGCUAGCCCGGUACCAGCGGAAGUGGGAUGAGCUGGCUGUGCAGGAGAAGAUGUUCCGCCAGGAGUUUGAGCAGCUGGCCAAUAACAAGAAGGAGAUUGUGGCCUUCCUCAAGCGCACGCUCAACCAGCAGGUGGAUGAGAUCACAGACCUCAACGAGCAGCUCCAGAACUUGCAGCUAGCCAAAGAGAUGGAGAAGGAUGCCUUCGAGGCGCAGCUGGCCCAGGUGCGCCACGAGUUCCAGGAGACCAAGGACCAGCUCACCACGGAGAACAUCAUCCUUGGGGGGAAGCUGGCAGCCCUGGAGGAGUUCCGGCUGCAGAAAGAGGAGGUCACGGACAAGUUCACAUUGCUGGAGGAGCAGGUGCGGAAGCAGGAGAAUGAGUUCAGGGACUAUGCAUACAACCUGGAGAAGAAGUCGGUGCUGGACAAGGACAGACUGAGGAAAGAGAUCAUCCAGCGCGUGAACCUCGUGGCCAAUGAGUUCCACAAGGUGACCACGAACCGGAUGUGGGAGACAACCAAGCGGGCCAUCAAAGAGAACAACGGCAUUACCCUGCAGAUGGCCAGGGUCUCCCAGCAAGGCAUGAAGCUGCUGCAGGAGAAUGAGCAGCUCAAGGGAAGACAGAACAAUCUGUGCAAACAGCUGGAGCUGCUGGAGAACACCCAGAAGGUCAUGGCCAGGCACAAAAGAGGCCACCAGAAGAUCAUCCUCAUGCUGACUAAGAAGUGCCAGGAGCAGCAGCAGGACACCAAGGAGGCCGAGGAGCUGCGCCUCCUGCUGAGCCAGUUGGAGCAGAGAUCCCUGCAGCUGCAGGUGGAUAACCAGGCACUGAAGAGCCAGAGAGACCAGCUGAGCCUGCAGCUGGAGCAGCAGCAGGUGGAUUUGCAGCGGCUACAGCAGGAACUGGCUAAUGAGCAGAAGGUUCGGGCCAGCCUGGAGGCGGCUCUGGUCCAGGCCACCUCCUUCCUACAGAACAUUCUGCAGACAGGGAAAACUUCGUGGAAAUGGGCACUGAGGUUGGAAUUUCCUGGACGAGGGUGGGUACUGGGGCCACUGUGGGCCUGCUGCCACCCCACCCUCACCAACAGAUGCACCGCGAUGAAGAGGACAGUGACGUUGACGUGACGUUCCAGCCAUGGCACAAGGAGAUGCUGCAGCAACUGCUGGUCAUGCUCAGCUCCACUGUGGCCACGAGACCUCAGAAGGCUGCGUGUCCCCACCAGGAGUCACAGUCCCAUGGCCCACCCAAGGAGAGCCGGCCCAGCAUCCAGCUGCCCAGGACUGGGUCUCUGCUGCCGCAGCUCUCUGACAUCACCCCCUACCAGCCGGGGGAUCUAGGCCUGGUACCUCGCCAGGUCCACAUCCCACCCAACCCCCAGGACCUCAGGCUGCUGUCAUAUAUCACCCGUGUGGGGACCUUCCGGGCACACAGCAGCCCUGAGAUGCGUGCCCCUGGUUCUCUAAAAAGGCUUGAAAAGUUUAGUCUUCCUGAAGUUCCCCUACGUCCCAAGUAGGACACAGAGAGAAGAACCUACUCCAGAAAUGGACUGGUCCAGUCACAGUCACCCCCACUUUAAUCCGCAGGCAGCCUGGAACAGUCUAGAGGAGAUUUGUAUAAAAAGUAGAUACCAAGGCUGGCGUGGCAGCUCUGUGGCAGUGGCUGGGUUGGUGGGCACUACAGUCAGGCAGGCAGCCAUGGCCACUAGUGUCACGGCCCCAGUGAGGGCCCCUGGCUUCGCUCACGGAUGUGGUCCAAGAUCAGGUCGGUGGCUCGAUCCAGCAACAGAGGCAGCAGCUCCUGCUCAGCAGGGGAGAAGCAGCCCAGCACAUGGGCCUGAACCGCCUCAGGGUGCGCCGGGCGCCCGAUACCCACCCGCAGCCUUGGCAUUGCCUGUGGGAGAGCCAGAGAGGCCCAGGAAGCUUUGGCGAGGUGCUGGGGGACCCCUGGCCCACCCGACCCAGUUGCACAACAAAAGGGUAGACUCACAUUGGAGUUGAGGCAGCUAAUGCAGGAACGGACUCCAUUGUGGCCCCUUCAAGGGAUAUGGGAGGGGCAGUUAGUGCCUCCCUGGGGCAGUGUCCUUCCACCCCUCCCUGCCCCGGCUGGGUCAGAGCAGCCCAUUUCCUGUGGAGACUGGGUCAGCAGCCCUACUCCACCCCAACUGGGAGGCCUGAAGCCCUAUCCCAACCCUGACCAUCUCAGGACCUCACCUGGCACUGCCCCCCAGCUUCAGAGCCAGUCUCCCCAGGGGCUUGUCCAGCUCAUCAUGCACCAGGUAGACUUCCUCGGCAGUCAGCCCAAACAGCUCCGCUUAGCACAGGGAAACGGCAGCCCUGGUUACUGCCCAUCUGCCCAGAGAGGCACUGUCCCGACUCCCAUGAUGAGGGACCACAACUAAUCCCACUUCACAUAUAAAGAAACUGAGGCCCCCCGAAGUACCCAAAGCCAUGCAGCAACUGGAGCUCAACAGGUACUUGGAGGUGAACCCGCGGAUCUGUCACAGCCAGUGCUCCCCUCUGGCCCCCGCGCCCCAACCCCCACCCCCUUGGCCCGCCCGCCCACCCCUGGCGCUCUCAACUCACCAGCCCGGGCCACGCUGCGCCCGUUGGCGUUCAUAAGCCGCCGUGGCCGGAGCAGGACCAGUUGGGCAUCCCCCAGCGGGGCCAGGGCGAGGUCGGCGGCACAGUGCCGGUCGCGCGUCCAACUCUCCGCCACACCCAGCCGCCGCGCCAGCUGCCCCAGCACCGCCAUGCCCACGCUGUGUCGCGUGCCGGGCAGUCCGGGAUUCCCCAGGCCAGCCACCUGCGGGCGGCACCAGGGAAACUGAGGCCCAACAACUCUCGCCACCCCCGAUCUCACAGCGUCCCGUGGGCCCCAACGCAGAGGAGCGGAAACGCAGAGCAACGCUGCAGUGGGGAAGGGGCGCGAAGAAGGGGCCCAGAAACCCGACCCCUGAGAACUCCAGAAGGCUGGGCAGGCAGGGCGCCCUAGUGCAGGAACGGAGCUUCAAGAAGUUUGGAGCCCGUCGAGCACUGAACUCACCAGUUAAGAAAACAGAGCAGCAAUUUGGGGGCACUCGGCUCCCGGGACAUAAUGGCCGAACUGAAGCUAGGGACCGGGAGCCCCUACGUCGCCGCCCCACGCCACUCACCAUCCACCGCUUCCCCGGGGGGCGAGGCUCCAAAACACAUCGGCUCAUGGCUCUACUCAGCCGCUGUCCGGCGCCCAAAAAGCCGCCCGGCCUCAUGCUGCCCCCAUUCACUCCGACACCGCCCCCUGACGUCAUCACCCCGCAGCAGCCAAUCGUGUUGCCAACUGUUUGGCGUCCACCGCCAACGUCCAAUCCGGGCCGGGCUACGUGGCCGCCAUGCUUCUGAGGGGCGGAAGCGGCGAGGCGGUGGCCGAGUCCGGGAACCCAGGCGCCUUCAGUAGCGCGGCGUCACAGUGUCCCUUCGGGACUUGUGUGGGACGCUCGGAGCUCUUGCUUGACCUUCGGUUGGGAGGCCUUGUUAUGCCCCCCGCUAUGGCCCUGACUUGCGGCGAAAAUCUGGCAAGUCCUUUCCCCGCUGUAGGCCUCAACCUCUCCAGCUAAUAAAAGUUUUCUACCUCC
RNA transcript from Homo sapiens (human), 3808 nucleotides. It is a transcript of the gene named cilia and flagella associated protein 157, with no coding region annotated. The record is from RefSeq and is marked validated. The transcript has 9 exons. NCBI's taxonomy places the organism in Eukaryota, Metazoa, Chordata, Mammalia, Primates, Hominidae.